CUGCUGCCUUCCGUAGGAGUUUGGACCGUGUCUCAGUUCCAAUGUGGGGGACCGUUCCUCUCAGAACCCCUAUCCAUCGUCGUCUUGGUGGGCCGUUACCCCGCCAACUAACUAAUGGAACGCAUCCCCAUCGAUAACCGAAAUUCUUUAAUAUCAAGAUCAUGCGACCUUGAUAUCCUAUCGGAUAUUAAUCUUUCUUUCGAAAGGCUAUCCCCGAGUUAUCGGCAGGUUGGAUACGUGUUACUCACCCGUGCGCCGGUCGUCAUACGG
RNAcentral lists this ribosomal RNA (270 nucleotides) under uncultured bacterium. RNAcentral's name for it is "partial 16S ribosomal RNA". The record is from RNAcentral.